AUUGAACGCUGGCGGCAGGCCUAACACAUGCAAGUCGAGCGGAUGAAGGGAGCUUGCUCCUGGAUUCAGCGGCGGACGGGUGAGUAAUGCCUAGGAAUCUGCCUGGUAGUGGGGGAUAACGUCCGGAAACGGGCGCUAAUACCGCAUACGUCCUGAGGGAGAAAGUGGGGGAUCUUCGGACCUCACGCUAUCAGAUGAGCCUAGGCCGGAUUAGCUAGUUGGUGGGUUAAAGGCCUACCAAGGCGACGAUCCGUAACUGGUCUGAGAGGAUGAUCAGUCACACUGGAACUAAGACACGGUCCAGACUCCUGCGGGAGGCAGCAGUGGGGAAUAUUGGACAAUGGGCGAAAGCCUGAUCCAGCCAUGCCGCGUGUGUGAAGAAGGUCUUCGGAUUGUAAAGCACUUUAAGUUGGGAGGAAGGGCAGUAAGUUAAUACCUUGCUGUUUUGACGUGACCAACAGAAGAAGCACCGGCUAACUUCGUG
Molecule: ribosomal RNA, 484 nt
Filed under: uncultured bacterium
Lineage: Bacteria
Description: partial 16S ribosomal RNA
Rfam family: Bacterial small subunit ribosomal RNA
Source: RNAcentral